RNAcentral lists this long non-coding RNA (155 nucleotides) under Chinchilla lanigera (long-tailed chinchilla). RNAcentral's name for it is "lncRNA (ENSCLAG00000023617.1)". The record is from RNAcentral. Lineage: Eukaryota; Metazoa; Chordata; Mammalia; Rodentia; Chinchillidae.
CCUCACCUGUCCUGGAGCUCUGAAGCAGUAGAAUUAAAGAGUCUUGUGACCACUUUUUGCAUUUCCCUCUCAACAUCCACGGCGAUGCUCUGGUUUCUGGCUUCCUUCUGUCCCAGCACAGAGACGCACUGCUGCAGACAUGGCAAGAAGCACCC